GGCGACUGCUGCAUCUCAAAACCUGAAGAUCAAAAUUUCCUCAACAAAGAGAGAGAGAUAUUCGCCUGCACAAGCUUACACCACGUUUGGCAGGUGAAGGUGCUCAGUAUGAAUCAGAGCUACUACGAUAAAUAUGAGAUGGAGAUUACACAAGUUAUUAAACUAGGUGUGGAGGCUGGAGUUGAAGUUGGUCAGAAGAGGUUUUUCYUGUCGCAUGGUGGCUGCAGAGAAGGACUCAACCUCAAACUGGGCUCCCAGUAUCUCAUCAUUGGUCCUAAAGAGGACCAGUGGACCACUGACCCCAGCAACA
Molecule: non-coding RNA, 310 nt
Organism: Poecilia reticulata (guppy)
Lineage: Eukaryota; Metazoa; Chordata; Actinopteri; Cyprinodontiformes; Poeciliidae
Source: RefSeq, a predicted model, not a curated record